Molecule: long non-coding RNA, 265 nt
Filed under: Gossypium barbadense (sea-island cotton)
Lineage: Eukaryota; Viridiplantae; Streptophyta; Magnoliopsida; Malvales; Malvaceae
Description: long non-coding RNA (GBAR_LNC022434)
Source: RNAcentral
GAUCAGCUUGUGUACCCACUCUCAAAGUAAGCCACCACUAGUAGGCCUCAUCUCGUAGUAAGAACACUGCCCCCUUUAAUUUUUUCUCCACGGUACAGUCAAGAUCGUCCAUUAUUCAUUCGGUCACGUCUAACCAGUACUCCGUCACAUUUGGGGCUACACCAGAAAUACCUUUGAAAAUAUCCACUUCGUUAGACUAGAGUCGUUCUGAAAUUAACCCUCGGCCCACUAUUCCAGUACUAGCUCCAGUAACCCUCUCUAGAAC